Molecule: ribosomal RNA, 266 nt
Filed under: uncultured prokaryote
Description: partial 16S ribosomal RNA
Rfam family: Bacterial small subunit ribosomal RNA
Source: RNAcentral
UACGUAGGUGGCGAGCGUUGUCCGGAUUUAUUGGGCGUAAAGGGAGCGCAGGCGGUGACUUAAGUCUGAUGUGAAAGCCCACGGCUCAACCGUGGAAGGUCAUUGGAAACUGGGUCACUUGAAUAUAGAAGAGGAAAGUGGAAUUCCAUGUGUAGCGGUGAAAUGCGUAGAUAUAUGGAGGAACACCAGUGGCGAAGGCGACUUUCUGGUCUAUUAUUGACGCUGAGGCUCGAAAGCAUGGGUAGCAAACAGGAUUAGAUACCCCU